GGGCAGGAAGUGUGCAGAGCUCAGAGGCAGCGCCCAGCAACCCCACUGGUGCCCUCCGUGCCAGGCAGAUACGUGCUUGCCCAGUGUGGGCUCUCAGCACAUGUCUGUUGAAUGAAUGAGUUAGUCAAUGAAUUACAAAGAGACCCUUGAAAUAAGACGACCAAGUGGGAGCUCUGGGCAGUCAAUGCUGGUUUCAGACUGUGGCUCCUUCCACGUACCAGUUGGAGACCUACCGGGCUAGAACCUUGUGACCAGAGUGUAGUCUGUGCAGGCGGCGUCAAGAUCACCUACACACUUCAGCAUCCUGACAUCAUAGGCAUGAGUCCCCUGCACGAUCGAUCCCUCGGGUGUAAGAAGCAAGCACUUAACCACUGCAUCAUGGAGUUAGCCCCAUCUCUAUUCUGAUGCUUUGACAACUUGGAGCCUUGCUGACGACCCUCCAGUGACUCCCAGAGUUAUUCGAAUGCCAACCAACAGAUCCAGAGCCUCUGCCCACAUCCACCUCCUUUAGUGGGUUCUCAGACUCUGCACCCUAAUCACCCCUAGCCUGGGUAACAGGCAAUUAGGGACUGCCCCUAUACCCCAAAGCCCCCCGAAAUGAUCAAACUAGCCAAUCAUUUCUCCUGCCCACCAGAGGGCAUGUACAUUCACCAGAGAGACAGAAAGAGAGGGAGCGAGAAGAGAAAGCACCCCGCAAUAGGACAUGGUCACACUGCCGUCUCUUCUCCUCCAUCUCUCCAUCCCGUCAGGAU
Tupaia belangeri chinensis (Chinese tree shrew) is the source of this 752-nucleotide long non-coding RNA. RefSeq lists it as uncharacterized. Lineage: Eukaryota; Metazoa; Chordata; Mammalia; Scandentia; Tupaiidae. The transcript is spliced from 3 exons. The record is from RefSeq and is a predicted model, not a curated record.